CAACCAACGACCUUGCAGGCUGAGAUCGUCCGGGUGGGCUCCCCACCCCAGAUCCGACGCAUCGGAGACUAGGGUAACUGACAGGGACGGGAUUGCAAAGGGGACUCCCUCCAACACCAAUAAGGGAUUCAGUCAUCAUGUGAUUGACGACAGUAUGUGGUCCGGUACCUUGACCACGUUAUAUGUUGUAUCUGUUGGGGACGUAGACCGAUGCCAGCCAUGCCUGUAGGAGACUGAGAUGGAGCUGCGCAUACCAGACCAUAGACCCAGAUCAUGACACAUGGAGAGAACCAGAUCGAGGUGCCACCACACCUGAUCCAAGGACCGGCCCUUCAUUAACCUGUCAUUGAGGUACUGGUAAAUCUGAACACCCCUCUGGCUCAGGUAAGCAACCACUGGUGCUAUGCACUUUGUAAACACUCUUGGUGCUAAUGAGAGGCUGUGACAAAGUGUGUGUGUGGGGGGGUUCUUGGUUUCUCCUUGUUUUUCCAAUGGUUUGUAUGUAGAGGGGAAGGGACUCAGUUUCCCUGGGUGUUACUGGUUUAACAAAGUGAUGGGAGAGGGAGUUUGUUGUUACAGGGGUCCAGCGACAGAAGUUGGGACCCCAGCCAAUGGUCUGGAGAAUGGAUACCCCAGCGACUGGUGACUUGGCAAACCGGAGGCCCAGCUCAGGAGUUGCAGCUGGUUCCGGCCAGUGGGAGGACAAUAGGCUGCGGAGGGAGGACAUCUGGUGACCUGACCAGCCGAUUCCAGUCACGGGGGCUAGAGGACAGAAGAGAGGAAAGGAGGGCCAGGCGACCCUCUUUACCUGGAGAGAAGACAAUGGACUGAGCUGGGGCUUGGGGGAGGUGAUAUCAGAUGCCCAGCUGGAAAGCGCAGGGGCUCUGGGCUGGGGAGAUAGAGCAGGCAGAGCCCACCUGAAUGCAAGGGAGACUUGGAUAUGCUGUACUGACAGAGUCCAGGCCUGGGGGCCUGAGAGUUUCCUGUGCUGGGUUCAGACACUCACUAAACCCUCCUGUUUUAUGCUGUCUGAGAGUCACUUGGGUCUAAAGAUCAGGGUUGCAUUAUUCCCUGUGGGAAUGGAGGCCCUGGGGGUCCAGAGCGAGUGGACUCCCUGAGGGGGCCCAUGGCGAGAAAAAGGUGUGCUAAGGCUCAGAGAGGUGCAGUUCCAGGAGGUGGAGGGGUUUAACCCCCAAGAGUGGACUACCGAGAAGGGCUGUCUCAUUGAAGGGGGUUCCCCCCAGGGACCACACGGGGCCAAGAGUGGGUAUGACCUGUGAGUCCAUGACAGAGGCCAAAGGGUAGUGCCAUGAAUUGGAAAUGGCGCUGGCCCAACACAAAAUGGAGGAACCGUGAGUGUCCUUGGAAGAGGGAGAUAUGGAAAUAUGCAUCAUUCAAGUCGAGGGUGGUGUACCAGUUUCCCAGAUUCAAGGAGGGAAUGAUGGAGGCCAGGGAAAUCAUGUGGAUCAUCAACUUUUUGAUAUACUUGCUGAGGUGUCACAGAUCCAGGAUACGCCUCAGGCAAGGUUCCUUCUAAUUUUUUCCAUCCAUGUGCAGAAUUAAUUUUGUUAUGUGCAGCACCAAUAUCAAGAUAAUGUGCAGAUGUGCACAACAAGCACAAAUGAAAAACCUAGCUAUAACACACCAAAAUGUGGCAUAGUGAAAACAGAUAUAUAAAUAAAACAAAAUCAUGGCCAUUAAUUGAAAACAUACAAAAUAUGCUCCUGAGUCCCAAUUUAAUAACCUACUCCUAUCAUAGACCACUAAAUCUUCAGGGAAAGCUGCUCUCGAAAAAUGAAGCAUCUGCCAAAACACUAACAUGCUACAGACUUUUGCAGGUCACAAAACUGUCCCUCUUGCAUGCAUAUUAUCUGCACAUGUAGCUCAGCUUUAAGAUGCUAAACAAAUCUCUGAGUCAACUAGAAAUAGUCAUGCUCUCAUCACAAAUAUUAAUACAGUAUUUUCUGAUACUGAAAAGGAGAGUAAAAGGUAUUCACUCAGGUUAUACAAUUUCUCUAGGAUGUCAACUCUUAAUUUGAUUAAUACUUCACACACACAGAACAGUAAAAAUAAGUAAUACAGCGACACAAACAGCAAACAAACAAAC
Dermochelys coriacea (leatherback sea turtle) is the source of this 2107-nucleotide long non-coding RNA. RefSeq lists it as uncharacterized. Lineage: Eukaryota; Metazoa; Chordata; Testudines; Dermochelyidae. The transcript has 2 exons. The record is from RefSeq and is a predicted model, not a curated record.